RNAcentral lists this ribosomal RNA (1531 nucleotides) under Salmonella enterica subsp. enterica serovar Enteritidis. RNAcentral describes it as "bacterial SSU rRNA". It matches the Rfam family "Bacterial small subunit ribosomal RNA". RNAcentral also lists the same sequence under 2 other names. Lineage: Bacteria; Pseudomonadati; Pseudomonadota; Gammaproteobacteria; Enterobacterales; Enterobacteriaceae. The record is from RNAcentral.
AAAUUGAAGAGUUUGAUCAUGGCUCAGAUUGAACGCUGGCGGCAGGCCUAACACAUGCAAGUCGAACGGUAACAGGAAGCAGCUUGCUGCUUUGCUGACGAGUGGCGGACGGGUGAGUAAUGUCUGGGAAACUGCCUGAUGGAGGGGGAUAACUACUGGAAACGGUGGCUAAUACCGCAUAACGUCGCAAGACCAAAGAGGGGGACCUUCGGGCCUCUUGCCAUCAGAUGUGCCCAGAUGGGAUUAGCUUGUUGGUGAGGUAACGGCUCACCAAGGCGACGAUCCCUAGCUGGUCUGAGAGGAUGACCAGCCACACUGGAACUGAGACACGGUCCAGACUCCUACGGGAGGCAGCAGUGGGGAAUAUUGCACAAUGGGCGCAAGCCUGAUGCAGCCAUGCCGCGUGUAUGAAGAAGGCCUUCGGGUUGUAAAGUACUUUCAGCGGGGAGGAAGGUGUUGUGGUUAAUAACCGCAGCAAUUGACGUUACCCGCAGAAGAAGCACCGGCUAACUCCGUGCCAGCAGCCGCGGUAAUACGGAGGGUGCAAGCGUUAAUCGGAAUUACUGGGCGUAAAGCGCACGCAGGCGGUCUGUCAAGUCGGAUGUGAAAUCCCCGGGCUCAACCUGGGAACUGCAUUCGAAACUGGCAGGCUUGAGUCUUGUAGAGGGGGGUAGAAUUCCAGGUGUAGCGGUGAAAUGCGUAGAGAUCUGGAGGAAUACCGGUGGCGAAGGCGGCCCCCUGGACAAAGACUGACGCUCAGGUGCGAAAGCGUGGGGAGCAAACAGGAUUAGAUACCCUGGUAGUCCACGCCGUAAACGAUGUCUACUUGGAGGUUGUGCCCUUGAGGCGUGGCUUCCGGAGCUAACGCGUUAAGUAGACCGCCUGGGGAGUACGGCCGCAAGGUUAAAACUCAAAUGAAUUGACGGGGGCCCGCACAAGCGGUGGAGCAUGUGGUUUAAUUCGAUGCAACGCGAAGAACCUUACCUGGUCUUGACAUCCACGGAAGUUUUCAGAGAUGAGAAUGUGCCUUCGGGAACCGUGAGACAGGUGCUGCAUGGCUGUCGUCAGCUCGUGUUGUGAAAUGUUGGGUUAAGUCCCGCAACGAGCGCAACCCUUAUCCUUUGUUGCCAGCGAUUAGGUCGGGAACUCAAAGGAGACUGCCAGUGAUAAACUGGAGGAAGGUGGGGAUGACGUCAAGUCAUCAUGGCCCUUACGACCAGGGCUACACACGUGCUACAAUGGCGCAUACAAAGAGAAGCGACCUCGCGAGAGCAAGCGGACCUCAUAAAGUGCGUCGUAGUCCGGAUUGGAGUCUGCAACUCGACUCCAUGAAGUCGGAAUCGCUAGUAAUCGUGGAUCAGAAUGCCACGGUGAAUACGUUCCCGGGCCUUGUACACACCGCCCGUCACACCAUGGGAGUGGGUUGCAAAAGAAGUAGGUAGCUUAACCUUCGGGAGGGCGCUUACCACUUUGUGAUUCAUGACUGGGGUGAAGUCGUAACAAGGUAACCGUAGGGGAACCUGCGGUUGGA